CCCAGGAGGCAGAGAGCAGGAAACCCCUGGCCCUAGCACUUGAUCACCUCAGCAGAGACCCGUCCCUCUGUUCUGCCUGUGCUUUCCUUAUUCUGGAAUUCCACUUUCCUCUUGAUUUCCAGUAGCGGAGAGUGGAAGGAGAGGGCAGGUGUUGCAAGUGUGACUGGUCACCAGGAAGUCUUCGCUGAAUGAAUGCUCCUGCCGCCGUGUUCUUCACAUCAGGAAACUAAGUCAGAGCAGAGCUGUCCCCAAGGGAGGUGCUGAAGCACAGUGACUCGCCAAGCUUCAGGGAAGGCCAGACGUGGGUCUCAUCCUCAGCUGGGAGGGGCCCCCGACGUCAUCUAAUACAGCCCCGUUUUCUCAGGGUCGAGAACCGGGGCCCACAGGAGGUUUACCUGAGGUCACCCCAGAGGCAGGACUGGAACCCAGCUCCCCUAGGACCAAAAACAGAAUUUUCUCCAUGGCUCACCCACUGGCAUCCUGGUCUGAAAGGAGUGGAGGGGAAGACAGAGGCUGGAACGCAGGGGUGUGGCCCCCGAGACAUAUAGCCUCUUUCUGAGGUCACUCGAUCAAGGCCUUUCCUCCUGCUUAAACCAAUAUCUCUGGCAGGCCCCCCUUGGGAAUGCCAUUUCGUGUUGGCAAAAGCUGCCAAUCCAGAUGCUUCUUCUAGCUUCCUGUGACAUUCGAGGAAACUGGAGCUGUGUAUGUCAAACAGAAGAAAGUGAUUCAGAGAAAGAAACACAGACACCAGAGGUGAACGGGAUGAGAGCACGGUUCACAAAGAAGCACUAACUGUGGGCCUUCCAUCUGCCAGUCUGUCCAAGAUUACGUACCCUGAGGGCUACAGUCUGAAAUGUUCUGGUCUGUUUCCACUUAUCCAGUCCCACUAGGAGACAGACUUCCUCUGGAGUCUUGCCUGUGAACAGCAUCAGCCCCAGAAAGAUCAAGAGAGUGACAUGUACAAGCAAUGUUUGGGCUGAGUCAAGGAUGGUACAGGAGGGGCUGGAAAAUGGAGCAUGUGAAGAACAUUCCAAGCCAAGAAGGAGUAUGAGGGUCCGAUGAGGGGAAUAAGCAAGAUGCAGAUCAACUUCAUUUAUUCAUUCAUCCACUCACUCAACCCAUAUUCUCUUCCCUUGGAAGUGGUAGUGAGGGUAGGAGAAGGUGCAAAUGAUAAAAACUCAAUAGAUAAUGCCAUGCCAAACCCUUUUGUCCACAUUAUGGCUUCUCCAAGACUGCCUGGGGAGUCGAUGUGAAACCUGGGUUGCAUUCUUCCUGCGCCCAGCACAGCUGUGCUUCACCAACCACUCCUGGAGAG
Molecule: long non-coding RNA, 1315 nt
Organism: Bos taurus (domestic cattle)
Lineage: Eukaryota; Metazoa; Chordata; Mammalia; Artiodactyla; Bovidae
Source: Ensembl